AUUGAACGCUGGCGGCAGGCCUAACACAUGCAAGUCGAGCGGAUGAAGGGAGCUUGCUCCUGGAUUCAGCGGCGGACGGGUGAGUAAUGCCUAGGAAUCUGCCUGGUAGUGGGGGAUAACGUCCGGAAACGGGCGCUAAUACCGCAUACGUCCUGUGGGAGAUAGUGGGGGAUGUUCGGACCUCACGCUAUCAGAUGAGCCUAGGUCGGAUUAGCUAGUUGGUGGGGUAAAGGCCUACCAAGGCGACGAUCCGUAACUGGUCUGAGAGGAUGAUCAGUCACACUGGGACUGAGACACGGUCCAGACUCCUACGGGAGGCAGCAAUGGGGAAUAUUGGACAAUGGGGGAAAUCCUGAUCCAGCCAUGCCGCGUGUGUGAAGAAGGUCUUCGGAUUGUAAAGCACUUUAAGUUGGGAGGAAGGGCAGUAAGUUAAUACCUUGCUGUUUUGACGUUACCAACAGAAUAAGCACCGGCUAACUUCGUG
This 484-nucleotide ribosomal RNA is filed under the name uncultured bacterium. Its description in RNAcentral is "partial 16S ribosomal RNA". It matches the Rfam family "Bacterial small subunit ribosomal RNA", at positions 30 to 507 of the family's 1533-position model. The record is from RNAcentral.